UUUUCCUACGGGGGGCAGCAGUGGGGAAUAUUGCACAAUGGGCGAAAGCCUGAUGCAGCAACGCCGCGUGAGCGGUGAAGGCCUUCGGGUCGUAAAGCUCUGUCCUCAAGGAAGAUAAUGACGGUACUUGAGGAGGAAGCCCCGGCCAACUACGUGCCACCAGCCGCGGUAAUACGCAGGGGGCUAGCGUUAUCCGGAAUUACUGGGCGUAAAGGGUGCGUAGGUGGUUUCUUAAGUCAGAGGUGAAAGGCUACGGCUAAA
This 261-nucleotide ribosomal RNA is filed under the name uncultured bacterium. RNAcentral describes it as "partial 16S ribosomal RNA". It matches the Rfam family "Bacterial small subunit ribosomal RNA", at positions 334 to 612 of the family's 1533-position model. The record is from RNAcentral.